GGCAUUAAAGUUCAUAUUUCACAUUCAUGUCAAGACUAAUUACAUUCAUAGUAGGGAAAAGGACGAAAGCUGACAAAGUGCAGUUUGCAAAUAUCACAGUAUGUGUCAGAGGUAAAAAAGCAUUUCCAAAGUCAUCAAAGAACUUCUAUGAAUAAGCAUUUUACAUAGUAAUUUCAGCAGAAACUAAUGCUGACUUUCCACAACCAGCUUUAAAAAAGAACUGAACUACAUAUUAUUAGUAAGGAAAUUUAUUUUGAAUCAGAUAAAUUAGCUACAAGUUUUAAUACAUUUAUUAAACAGAAUUAAGUCCCUAAUGGUUCAGUUUCGUUCAAAAUUAAAGUGACAUCAAUAUGGUAUGACAUAAUUUUCAAAGUCAGUUAAGAAAAUCCAAAUUAAAACUGUCUUAGCCCUAAGAAAAAGAAAUGCCUGUAGGUAUUCACUCUAAUCUAAACACUCAUUUUCACACAUUCCUUUCUUAUUGUUAUGUAAUUUAUUCUCUGGGCUUCUUUGAUUUAACCCAGAAAGAAUUUUAAUAAUGUAUGAAAAAUCUCAAGUCAGAUCCAAUAUUCUUUAUACAGGGCAAACUCCCAGAAACUUAAUAAAGCAAAAGGAAUAUUUGAUUUAUGAUAUUUGUGUUCCAGAGGAUAACAAAUUACCAACAACUACACCUCAGAUUAACAAAAAAAAGAUUAUUAACUAACAAAGAAAAGUACUGAGUUAAAAACAGAAGCUUUAAGUUUAUGCAGCAGUUCUGGCAAAUAUCUGUUUAUACAUUAUCAAUUAAAAGCAGGUGGGACACACCCAUUUUUCUAUUAUGAUAUGUCCUACUGAUCUUUCAUCUGAAUUUGCUCUAUGCUAUUAUGCUUGGAGGUUAAUAUAUCUUUUACUUCAAUAUCAGCUACACACUUUUUUUUGAUUGCAAUUCCUUGUAAUAAAAACGGAUUAACUUCUAUCCCUUCCUUUUAUUUACUGCUUUCUUUCAAUUACAGAACAUUAAUAGGCUCAUCCAAUACACAAAACGAUCCAACUGACCUCUUUAAGGAAGGUCCAUUUUUAUUUCUCUGACAUUAUUGCACAGCUAAAAUGCCUGUUUACAGCACUUUACGUGCGAUCAGAAUGACUUGUAAAUAAAGAAGCUGUGCUGUUGCAAGUCAAAAGGUUUGAAUGAAAACAAACCUACAAAUGUGUCUCCCAAAUGGGACUUGAGAGAACUUUCAAACUUCUAGAUAAAUUUAGAAGUUACAUUUCCUUUGUGUGUCAUAAAUAAGUAGUGAAUAGAAAAGAGAACAUCACUGCCAAACAUUGCAAAUUCAUGAUCUAGUCUAGUCUCACACUGCUUAAUCAAUAUCCUAUCAAAAAUAGUUACAUUAAAUAAUAAUUCAUAUUUUUAAAGCAAAAUUUCUUAGGUAAUUUCCUCAUGGAAUUCUUUACAACUCUAAUGUACGUCCAUUUUUAAAAACUACGGAUACUUGCAGCCCUUCAGUAAAUUCAAUAUGCAGAGAAAUAGUUUAAAAACUCCACCAUGUUCCCCUCAGGCAUCCCACAGCAGCUUCUAAACUCCCUUCACAGUUAUAAAAUUCACAUACAAUUUUGCAUUUUCUCUUUGAAGUACACUCACACAAAUAAUGACUUCUGAACUUCUCAAUGUUUCUUCUCUAAUGUAGGGAAACCAAAUUAAUUCAAUAUAUUUAUUUUGCAAAACUUCUGCUUAUAAAUAUCCCUGGAUUCUUUCACAUCACUCAGUGAAAUUGAGUGAGUGCUUUGUUGUAGCUCUAGAAUUUUCUUCAGUGAAAUUGCUUAAGGAAUUGUUUUCUAGUCUACAUUUCAUUAAUCAUGUGGUUUUGCAUAUAGAAAAUGUUUAUGUAUGUAAGUGUUACAUUUUGGUACACAAGCUCAAAAAAAUCUGUUUAAAGUAUGUCCUUGUUUUCUUAAUUAAAGUCUCUUCAUAUUUUAAUAUUUUAUGAAUAAUAUUGCGAUGGUUCUGAAAAUGAAACUUUUUUUGCAGGCAAAAUAUAAGCUUAUUUAUAUCCUCACUGUCACAGGAAAAGUCAGGAACAUAGAAUCAUAAAAUCAUAGAAUCGUUUGGGUUAAAAAGGAUCUUCAAGACCAUCUAGUUCCAACCUCUUUGUCACAGGCAGCUGACUUCCACUACAGGUUCUGAGUCCCAUCCAAUCUGGUCUUGAGCACUUCCAGGGAGGCAUCCACAGCUUCUCUGCGCAACCUGUUCCAGUGCCUCACCACUCCCACAGUGUAGAAUUCCUUCCUAAUAUCUAACCUAAACCUACUUUCUUUGAGUUUAAAGCCAUUCCCUCCUGUUAUAUGCUAGAAUACCCUCAUCAAAAGCCCCUUCCCAGCUUUCAUGUAAGCCCCCUUCUGAGCUCUCCCAGAAGGCUUCUCUUCUCCAAGCUGAAAAACCCCAACUCUCUCAGCCUGUCUUCAUAGGAGACAAUUGUAAAAUUGAAAAAUUAAAUAUUUCCUCCCAGCAAAAUACACUGCAUUCACUUUAUCACAAGGAGUGAAGCAGUACUUCAGCAAUUCAGUCACAGUAACAUCGAUAUCAUCUUUGCUGAUAUGAGAAGGAUCAAAAAAUCAUUAACACCUGUUAAAGGCCUUUUAAUCAUAUCCCUCUCUUGACAUAUCUGCAGUACCAUGUGUCAGCCCUAGAAGUUAAGCCAUGGUAUUUUUACAACCUGGCAGCUGGAAGCUUUCAGAAUUAUUUGGUACUCAGGUCUGCCUUAUCUUAAGAGCAGAAAGCUUUUUCCCUUGUUACAUUCUCUUCUUACAAAGUUCUUCAUUGCAAAACCCACAAAAACAUUGCUAAAUAAUUUGGCUGAAAAAGGUGUACUCAGAUUUUUCCCUCUUAUGUUUAUUUUUUCCAUAACAUCCUAUUUUUACUUAGACCUUCAUAAAUGCACGUUUUCUCACCCAUGAUUUCAUGCUAUUAAUAAAAGGAACCACAUAAUUUAAACCGAAACAUUUUAUUGCAUUGAAGUGCCAGCUAUUCUUACAUAUGUAAUAAUUGCAAAUUGCCUAGGCAACCUGCAUAACUAUGCAAGAUGUGAGAAGUCCUCUGGCUCUGGCAGCUUGCACAUAAUCACUUCUUUAGGCAUGAGCAGCAGAGAUCCUUGCAUCCCUGUGGUACCCUGCUUCAGCUUCAGUACACAAGGCUGGUGCUGGCCUUAGCAGCUGUGGCCCUUUAGGCUGCUCUCGCAGGCAGAGGUGGGAUAUGCAAGCUUCCCACAGAUAGGUGAGAGUGGCUCUGCCUCUGUUUCCCCCGAGGAAACCUGAGCCAGUGAUCCCAAACAGAAUGAAUAUGCCCCAGCUUCCACUCCAACAAAUAACAAUGAGCCCACCGUACGUGUCUCCUACUUCAAUGGCUUGUUCAGUAUGGGGAAAGCAUUUGGAAGUUUUCCUUUCCAGAUUAAGCCCUUCCCCAGGACCGUUCUGGGGGAAAUUGCUGGUAAGAAAACCAACAGGCUAGUUUGUUUGUAUAACCUUAAAUCAUAUAUUUCUUUCCGAAAAUUGACAUUACCAUGAUGCAAGAUUUUGCAUAUUGAUUCGUUAGUUGACAAGUUAUAUUCCUCUGAUUUUUAGCCCUAUAUGUAAGCACAAAAAAAUCAACUUGAUUUGUUUUCAUCUAAUUUUUAACAAAAUUUUAAAUUCUACUCCAAAAGUUAAUCCACCUGAUAAUCAUGUGGCUGACAAAAACAAAUAGCCACCCAAGUCAAGCUGAGUCAAGCUGAAUUAAAGGCCACACGUGUGGUCAGGUGGAGGUAGAUUUGAACAAUGGCUGAUUUACCACACCCUAGUACCAAUUUUAAGGACAAAACACCUUGGUCUUCAGUGUGGCCUUGAUUUAAAAAGUCUGUUACCUUUUUAGUUGCACAGUCAUAACCUUUUUUCAGUAGGAAUGUAGUGCAUUUGUAUAUUUAGAAUUUUUCCAGAAGAAAAAGUAGCAUCCUAAUAUUUUCAGUGUGAUAUUAAAAAAAAACAAGAGAUAAGUAUGGAAAAAACAAACUCCAGUAUAAGUAGUUAUGUUUGUCUUUAGUAUUCAUUGCCAAUAGUCAAGAAAAAUUCUACAUAAAUCAAAAUUAGCAACUUACAGUACUGAAUUAGAGAAAUCUAAGAUUAACUACUCAGUAGAACAGAGAUUAAAUUCAACUAUAUUUGAGAAAUCAUAAAUUCAUCUAGAUUCCAUAUUCUACCCAGAAAAAAAAUCAGCAAAGUUUUCAAAUCCUGAAGAAACAUUUUAGAGGUUGAAUUAUAUUGGAAAUGUUCUCACAAGUCUGUGAAUUUGUUUUCUUUUCAGCCCAUGACUUCAAAAUAUGUCAAUCAUAGUACUCUCUCAUAUUCCACUUCUUUGCCUAUUUGGAGUCCUCAUUUUGGCUUCGGUGAGGUUUUACAUUUGUCCUUGAGUAGAGUAGGAAAUUAAUAAUUAAAAUCAUGAAAGGGUUAAGAGAAACUUAACUAUUGCUUCCAUCAAACCAGUAUCUCAAGAGCACUGAUGGUGUGGAUCAUGGAUGGAAGUGCUCAAGUAAGGAGCAAGGAACAGGCAGAAAAGGUUGUAGCUAACAGUGCCAAGCCUUAGCAGAAAAAAAUCCUACGUCAAAGUAUAAAUAAAUGUUUGAGCAAGAAAUACUUGUCAGGAGAUAGGGAUUAUCAUAAUGGAUAAAAAUGAAAAAAAAAACAUUCUAGCAUAGAAGCUGAAUAAAGAUAUGAGUCAAUGUCAUUACAGUUAUAAUACUUAUAAUUCAGCAUGAAAUAUAAUUUGAAAGAUAUAAGCCUGGGGAAAAAAACAGGAUAAAUUUUUUUCCAGUGUUCUGGAUAAGUUAUUGGCAAAUGUAAAAUCUGGGUGGCAAAACAAAAACAAUAACUAGCCAUUUUGUCACUAUCUUGAGGUCACUUUUGAGGUGCCUUUAAUUUUGUUACAUCUCAGACAUCCAUAAAAACCAGCACCAAAAAAGUCAAGAAAGUUAAAAGUGUUAUGAAUUAGUUUAUUGACAUGUCAUAUACUACUUUAACAUAGUUUCAUGACUGGAGAUUCAUGAUGGUUCAGGUGAGUACAGAAAAAAAUGAAGAUCCUCAGCCCCAAUAUCUCUGUUCUGGUACUGAACCACAGGUUUGUGUUUAAGGUGUUUCUCAGCAGCUGUUUCUUACUAGCUCUUGUUUUGCUAUGUUUAGCUCUUGAGAGUUUGUUAGUCGUUCUUUGAUAAUCUUUUGGUUCCCUGAUCAGGUAAAUUUUUUAGAUCAAAUAAUCAUAGAAUAUACUGUGUUGAAAGGGACCCAACAGGAAUCAUUGAGUCCAACUCCCUGCCCUGCCCAGGACAUCCCCAAGAAUUACACCACGUGCCUGAGAGCGUUGUCCAAAUGCUUCUUGAACUCUGUUCAGUUUGGUGCUGUGACCACUUCCCUGGGGAGCCUGUUCCCAGCCACCCUCAGGGUGAAAAUUCUUUCCCAGAUAUCCAUCCUAAACCUCUGCUUACUCAGCUUCACACAAUUUCCAAGUCCUGUCACAGGUCAUGAGAGCGAAGAGAUCAAUGUAAAAGAUGGCAGAGUAGUUUCUGCAUGAGAUACUUGGAACUGCUCAUUAUAAACCUCAGCAUUUUCAAUACAGUCUCAGUACCCUUGUUCAAAAGCAUUUCCCAUUUUUAAAAAGCAUUCAUCCCUAUCCUCUUAGUGAAAGUUCAAUAAAUUCUAUAGAGCCUACAGAGAAUAUUCUUCUAAAGGAAAGAAGAAUAUUUAUAUUCAACUGAAAAUACAGGUGUUUCUGUGAUUUUCAAUAAUCUACAAUACAUCAAAACCAUGAUUUCCAUCAGCUUACCUAUAUCCACAUUUGCAUCUGCCCACUGUCAGUGAGGUAAGGAAUACAAGAUGUGUUUUAAGUCCUGCAUUCCUAAGGAAAAUUUCUCAAAAAACUGCUCAAUUUCUAAUGGCUACCUUCUAAUUCUUCCCCCAGAAUUCUCAUAUACUGGAUGAAGGGUAAGCCACAUGGGAGAGAUGAUAUCAAACUAAAAAAUGAAGGUCCACAGCAUGCCAACAGAAGACUUCAGGGUUACCCAGCAUAUUUCUCCAGACACCUCAGUGCUCAGAAAGGUCAAAGUUCACACAUAUGGCCCUUCUAAGCUGUUGCAUGCACCUGCAAUGUAUGGCAAAAAUGCCCUGCAGAGGAGCCAAAAAUUUGAACAAAAUUAUGCAGUUUUGAAGGUCUUUAAGACAAAAGAGUACGACAAAGUAAAUAACUCAUCAGCAUUUGGAAGCAUAAACAGCAGAAGGAGCCCUGAAGGAGAUGUGUCUUAUUGCAUUUUAAACAAAUAUCAAGGUAGGUAACUUGCAUGAUAAACACACUGCAAUUUGAUUUCAGUAAUUUAUUAAAUUAACAAAACCAUAUUUGUUUAUCUCAAUUACCAAAAUUGCAUAAGAUGCCAUGUUAUUUUCAAACACCAUUUCAGUCUCAAACAUGAAUUAUGGAGGUGAAUUUCAGUUGUUUUUUCAAAUGUUUUUGUACCACAAUCCAACACAGAAAUAUAUGCUCCAUAAGUUUUCUGAGCAGAAUUAAGGUUAUGUAAACACGUCAUUCAUCAUAUUUUCUCCCAUCAUAUGAUAGAUAUAUCCUUACACUCACUUCUAGUACUAACCAAAGUAAUUACUUAGAUUGCUUACAAAAGAACCAUCAGACUUUAAGUCAUCAGAUCUGUGUUCUAGGAACCCACUUACCUGCACCCUAUCACUGCAGUACCUAAGUCACACACAAUUGUCAUGUGUAGAAAGGGGCUUCAACACACUUUUUCUCUACAUGACUCUCAUAUUAGGUCCUGGUUCUGGUUACUGGUUCACACUUCUGACCAGUAACAAUAUACCCCAGGCAGAGAGUUCCUGCUCCAACCUGCUCAGACCUGUACUAAGGCAGCCUCUUCAGCCACAAUCACAGCUGUGAAAUUACUUUAGUCCUAUAGACCCUCUCUGUAAAGGCAUAUGAAGAAGCAGAUAUGUCUUCAGUGCUGCUUUUAAAACAUACCAGCACCCAACUCCUUCAUGGAGUCAGCUGCCUUAUCAUUUCCACAUUAAUCUUUCUUGAAACUACCUUGCAAAUUUUGCCCACCUGAUAUCUUUGAUCUCAAAACAAAUACCUGGGACACUUUCUGGGAGCAAACUCCAGUUUUCCAAAUGCUUAUUCAGGGUACCUGCAGGACCGUCUUUACUCUUGGAGCUGUUGAUUGAAGUUUUAUGCUGUAGGCUCUGUCAGGGAGCAUAAGCUUACCAGGUUUUUAUUCUUUUCACAGCCAGUUUCCACCACUGCAAGUUUCCCAUGGAUACUAUUUAUCUUCACUUAAAAUUGUUAAAUCAAAUUAACAAUAUGGUAUGGAACAGAUCUAGCAUCUGCGCAUUCACUUGUCCCCAACACCCUGAGGUUUGGUAUAUGAUACACUGAAACAUGAACUCUUACACCAAGCCUCAGAUCAAUCAACAUAUUGCCUACAUGAACUCUUAUUAACAAAACAGAGGGUAAGGAAAUUAAGAACUGUAAAAAAGGACAGCUCUUUUCAACUCAGAGCAGCUGCUCGCUACCUGAAAAACAAUAAUUCAAUUUGUAACAACAAAACCAAGACCACUUGAAAAUGUUCAGGGAGGUAAGGAAAAAUCUUUAAGUGUAAACUUGAAAAGCCUCCCAUGCUUGGAGAGACACUCAUCCAGCUGGUUCCCUACUUGAGUUCCUUCUCCAGCAGAGCUGUAGCACACUUUUUGCAGUGCUGUCAUGGCCCUUCUCCUGCUUUGUACCAUUUGUCCCUAGGUUUUGCGUCUAACACAGCAGCUCUGAUGCUGCCUGGGCACAGCCCAUUUUCUGAGGAACCCAGCUAAGGAUGUGCCUCAUAUUGUGCCUCAAGCCCUCAGUGUAGAUCAUCUCUACCGUGGCAUGAGCCAUUCCUGGGUCUCACAUCUAUCCAGAGGUGAGGUCUGUACAACUCAAAAGUGAGUGCCAAAAUAUUUUGUUUCGACUAGAGAUGAAGCCACUAUCUAGGACAUGAGAGAUCCACAUUACAGUCUGUGAACACCCCUUUUCAGCCAUACUAAACUCUCUCUCCUCCUCCUCUUACUCAUCCGUAGUAAGCACCCAGACUGCAGCCCUUCAGGAGGUUGGUGUUCUUGUUUUCACUAAAAAUUCACCCUGAGGAACCUUCCUUGGAAAAGUUUUAUUAAAGGAAAGCCAUUGAAGAAGAAUUUCAGUUUUGACAAAACAAUGCUUCCCAGUCAUGAGUGCAACUCUCACAGUGGCAUCCUAGGGCAUCAUUGUAUCCUAGUUACUGGAAUGUGGUGAGCUCUGUUUGCUGUUUACAAAAA
Taeniopygia guttata (zebra finch) is the source of this 8337-nucleotide long non-coding RNA. The record is from Ensembl. Lineage: Eukaryota; Metazoa; Chordata; Aves; Passeriformes; Estrildidae.